GCAUUGGUGGUUCAGUGGUAGAAUUCUCGCCUGCCACGUGGGAGACCUGCGUCCGAUUCCCGGCCAAUGCA
Danio rerio (zebrafish) is the source of this 71-nucleotide non-coding RNA. The record is from Rfam. NCBI's taxonomy places the organism in Eukaryota, Metazoa, Chordata, Actinopteri, Cypriniformes, Danionidae.